AUGAAGUUUGUUUGCGAUCAGGCUUUGAAGGAGCAGCAAUGCGAGCGAGAGCCUCCUGUUGACGUUGACGAUGACGAUGAAGACUUUGUUGGACUCGCUUGCCCUCCGCUGGACGACCUUGAAGCUGUCUUCAUCCUUGAGAGUGAAACCACGACUUUUGAUCCCUCCAACUUGUUUGACGACACCAAACUUGAUGAGCGCCACUUGGCAAUUCUCCAGAGGCCCAAGAAACCACCAUCUCACGGCAAAGGCAAGGAUUUGGAGACCCCUCCGCUUGAUGCUAAGCGACCACCUCCAUCUUCUUGUCAACAAAACCCUACGGGGCCAACAAAAUCUGAUGCUCAUCAUCAACGGCAAGACUGGGAUGAUGAAGACAAGUUGGAGAAUAGCAAGCGAAAGCUUCACCAAGGCUAUCAAGAGUUCCAAAACAAGAAAAAGAAAAUUCAACUUCUUGACGUCAAGAACUUGCCUUUGCCGUCUAAGCCUCAGCGAGGCCAGGUUUUGAGCAAGACCAGUUCGAGGAAAUGCCCAAAGCCUUCUGAUUUUUUGGAGAGCCAACAAAACCCUAAGGGGCCCACAAAAUCCACUUAUCAUGAUCUUCAUCAUCGGCGAGAUUGGGAUGAUGAAGAGAAGUUGGAGAACAGUAAGAAAAAGCUUCACCAAAGCUAUCAAGAGUUGCAAAACAAGAGAAAGAAAAUUCAAAUUCUGGAUAUUAAGAACUUGCCUAUGCCGCCAAAGCCGCAACGAGGUCGGGUUUUGAACAAGAACUAG
Molecule: long non-coding RNA, 771 nt
Filed under: Prunus dulcis (almond)
Lineage: Eukaryota; Viridiplantae; Streptophyta; Magnoliopsida; Rosales; Rosaceae
Description: sRNA ncRNA
Source: RNAcentral